RNAcentral lists this ribosomal RNA (380 nucleotides) under uncultured eukaryote. RNAcentral's name for it is "partial 18S ribosomal RNA". It matches the Rfam family "Eukaryotic small subunit ribosomal RNA", at positions 592 to 976 of the family's 1831-position model. The record is from RNAcentral.
CAAUAGCGUAUAUUAAAGUUGUUGCAGUUAAAAAGCUCGUAGUUGGAUUUGUGGCGUACGGUGUGUUCCGGGCACUUGUUGUCUGAGUAACCUGCUGUUGCCAUCCUUGGGUGGAACCUGUGUGGCAUUAGGUUGUCGUGCAGGGGAUGCCCAUCAUUUACUGUGAAAAAAUUAGAGUGUUCAAAGCAGGCUUAUGCCGUUGAAUAUAUUAGCAUGGAAUAAUGAGAUAGGACUUUUUUGCUAUUUUGUUGGUUUGCGCAAAGAGGUAAUGAUUAAUAGGGACAGUUGGGGGUAUUCGUAUUCCAUUGUCAGAGGUGAAAUUCUUGGAUUUUUGGAAGACGAACUACUGCGAAAGCAUUUACCAAGGAUGGUUUCAUUAA